Molecule: non-coding RNA, 86 nt
Filed under: Bradyrhizobium sp. CIR48
Lineage: Bacteria; Pseudomonadati; Pseudomonadota; Alphaproteobacteria; Hyphomicrobiales; Nitrobacteraceae
Source: RNAcentral
GAAAGCCGUGUGCAUUGAAAAGUGCCCGCACGGUUUGGGGGGAGGCGUAGGGAUAUCCUCUUCGAGGUGUCCCGCGCCUACCCUAC